RNAcentral lists this ribosomal RNA (405 nucleotides) under uncultured soil bacterium. Its description in RNAcentral is "bacterial SSU rRNA". It matches the Rfam family "Bacterial small subunit ribosomal RNA", at positions 1081 to 1496 of the family's 1533-position model. The record is from RNAcentral.
UAAGUCCCGCACGAGGCAACCCUAUCCUUUGUUGCCAGCGGUCCGCCGGGACUCAAAGAGCUGCCAGUAUAACCUGAGAAGGUGGGGAUGACGCAAGUCAUCAUGGCCCUUACGAGUAGGGCUACACACGUGUUCCAAUGGCAUAUCCAAAGAGAACCGACCUCGCGAGAGCAAGCGGACCUCAUAAAGUAUGUCGUAGUCCGGAUUGGAGUCUGCAACUCGACUCCAUGAAGUCGGAAUCGCUAGUAAUCGUAGAUCAGAAUGCUACGGUGAAUACGUUCCCGGGCCUUGUACACACCGCCCGUCACACCAUGGGAGUGGGUUGCAAAAGAAGUAGGUAGCUUAACCUUCGGGAGGGCGCUUACCACUUUGUGAUUCAUGACUGGGGUGAAGUCGUAACAAAGG